Molecule: long non-coding RNA, 240 nt
Organism: Danio aesculapii
Lineage: Eukaryota; Metazoa; Chordata; Actinopteri; Cypriniformes; Danionidae
Exons: 3
Source: RefSeq, a predicted model, not a curated record
CAUAAACCGCGAGGCGCACGCGGAGAAGUCCUUUCUGUUCAGUAAAAACUCGAGGAGAGUUCAUGUUGAGAGAAUUCAGAAGAAAAAUCUCUGGUGUUUCUCGAGUGCUUCACAAAUUAACGACGGAGAUCAACCGCAUUUACCUUGGACGUCCGAAGCUGCCUCUUCAGUGAACCACAGUUUUCAUAAGACUUAUGCUGUGUAAACUUAUUGAACCCAAUAAAACUUGAUUAAAACCAA